Molecule: ribosomal RNA, 402 nt
Filed under: Escherichia coli
Lineage: Bacteria; Pseudomonadati; Pseudomonadota; Gammaproteobacteria; Enterobacterales; Enterobacteriaceae
Description: partial 23S ribosomal RNA
Rfam family: Bacterial large subunit ribosomal RNA
Source: RNAcentral
UAUCAUUAACUGAAUCCAUAGGUUAAUGAGGCGAACCGGGGGAACUGAAACAUCUAAGUACCCCGAGGAAAAGAAAUCAACCGAGAUUCCCCCAGUAGCGGCGAGCGAACGGGGAGCAGCCCAGAGCCUGAAUCAGUAUGUGUGUUAGUGGAAGCGUCUGGAAAGGCGCGCGAUACAGGGUGACAGCCCCGUACACAAAAAUGCACAUGCUGUGAGCUCGAUGAGUAGGGCGGGACACGUGGUAUCCUGUCUGAAUAUGGGGGGACCAUCCUCCAAGGCUAAAUACUCCUGACUGACCGAUAGUGAACCAGUACCGUGAGGGAAAGGCGAAAAGAACCCCGGCGAGGGGAGUGAAAAAGAACCUGAAACCGUGUACGUACAAGCAGUGGGAGCACGCUUAGG